This 212-nucleotide long non-coding RNA is filed under the name Lathyrus oleraceus (garden pea). RNAcentral's name for it is "Pisum sativum (pea) long non-coding RNA (PSAT_LNC039754)". Lineage: Eukaryota; Viridiplantae; Streptophyta; Magnoliopsida; Fabales; Fabaceae. The record is from RNAcentral.
AAAAAUUGGAGCAGGGAUAUCCGGCAUGAAACCCGGAGGCAUACCCCAAGGGAACCCGGCUGGUAUUGCGUGAGAAGCAAAAUGAGCAUUGGCGGCUGGCACAGACGGAGCUAUAAUCUCAGAGACGACAGUCCUCUGAAUAGGAGUGGCAGGCGGUUGAGCAGGCUGAUUCUGAGCAGCGAGGAGUUGCUCCAUCAAAGCGCCAAGUCUGG